GAUGAACGCUGGCGGCGUGCCUAAUACAUGCAAGUCGAGCGAACAGACGAGGAGCUUGCUCCUCUGACGUUAGCGGCGGACGGGUGAGUAACACGUGGAUAACCUACCUAUAAGACUGGGAUAACUUCGGGAAACCGGAGCUAAUACCGGAUAACAUGUUGAACCGCAUGGUUCAACAGUGAAAGACGGUCUUGCUGUCACUUAUAGAUGGAUCCGCGCCGCAUUAGCUAGUUGGUAAGGUAACGGCUUACCAAGGCAACGAUGCGUAGCCGACCUGAGAGGGUGAUCGGCCACACUGGAACUGAGACACGGUCCAGACUCCUACGGGAGGCAGCAGUAGGGAAUCUUCCGCAAUGGGCGAAAGCAUGACGGAGCAACGCCGCGUGAGUGAUGAAGGUCUUCGGAUCGUAAAACUCUGUUAUUAGGGAAGAACAAAUGUGUAAGUAACUAUGCACGUCUUGACGGUACCUAAUCAGAAAGCCACGGCUAACUACGUG
This 497-nucleotide ribosomal RNA is filed under the name uncultured bacterium. RNAcentral describes it as "partial 16S ribosomal RNA". It matches the Rfam family "Bacterial small subunit ribosomal RNA", at positions 28 to 507 of the family's 1533-position model. The record is from RNAcentral.